AUUGAACGCUGGCGGCAUGCUUUACACAUGCAAGUCGGACGGCAGCACAGAGAAGCUUGCUUCUUGGGUGGCGAGUGGCGAACGGGUGAGUAAUAUAUCGGAACGUACCGAGUAAUGGGGGAUAACUAAUCGAAAGAUUAGCUAGUACCGCAUAUUCUCUGAGGAGGAAAGCAGGGGACCUUCGGGCCUUGCGUUAUUCGAGCGGCCGAUAUCUGAUUAGCUAGUUGGUGGGGUAAAGGCCUACCAAGGCGACGAUCAGUAGCGGGUCUGAGAGGAUGAUCCGCCACACUGGGACUGAGACACGGCCCAGACUCCUACGGGAGGCAGCAGUGGGGAAUUUUGGACAAUGGGCGCAAGCCUGAUCCAGCCAUGCCGCGUGUCUGAAGAAGGCCUUCGGGUUGUAAAGGACUUUUGUCAGGGAAGAAAAGGCUGUUGCUAAUACCGACAGCUGAUGACGGUACCUGAAGAAUAAGCACCGGCUAACUACGUG
This 490-nucleotide ribosomal RNA is filed under the name uncultured bacterium. RNAcentral's name for it is "partial 16S ribosomal RNA". It matches the Rfam family "Bacterial small subunit ribosomal RNA", at positions 30 to 507 of the family's 1533-position model. The record is from RNAcentral.